RNAcentral lists this non-coding RNA (112 nucleotides) under Halobacillus karajensis. RNAcentral describes it as "SAM-I sequence". It matches the Rfam family "SAM riboswitch aptamer (S box leader)". Rfam says of the family: The SAM riboswitch is found upstream of a number of genes which code for proteins involved in methionine or cysteine biosynthesis in Gram-positive bacteria. The SAM riboswitch acts at the level of transcription termination control. Lineage: Bacteria; Bacillati; Bacillota; Bacilli; Caryophanales; Bacillaceae. The record is from Rfam by way of RNAcentral.
CUCUUAUCCAGAGAGGCGGAGGGACUGGCCCUACGAUGCCCGGCAACCAGCAAGUACACACACUUGACAAGGUGCCAAAUCCUGCAAAGCGAUAGGCUUUGAAAGAUGAGAG